RNAcentral lists this ribosomal RNA (687 nucleotides) under uncultured archaeon. Its description in RNAcentral is "bacterial SSU rRNA". It matches the Rfam family "Archaeal small subunit ribosomal RNA", at positions 337 to 1024 of the family's 1478-position model. The record is from RNAcentral.
AGGCGCGAAAACUUUACAAUGCCGGCAACGGCGAUAAGGGGACCUCGAGUGCCAGGUUACAAAUCUGGCUGUCGUGAUGCCUAAAAAGCAUUGCAUAGCAAGGGCCGGGCAAGACCGGUGCCAGCCGCCGCGGUAACACCGGCGGCUCGAGUGGUAACCGUUAUUAUUGGGUCUAAAGGGUCUGUAGCCGGCCGGAUAAGUCUCUUGGGAAAUCCAGCAGCUCAACUGUUGGGCUUUCAGGAGAUACUGUUCGGCUCGAGGCCGGGAGAGGUGAGAGGUACUUCAGGGGUAGGGGUGAAAUCUUGUAAUCCUUGAAGGACCACCAGUGGCGAAGGCGUCUCACCAGAACGGACCUGACGGCAAGGGACGAAAGCUAGGGGCACGAACCGGAUUAGAUACCCGGGUAGUCCUAGCCGUAAACGAUACUCGCUAGGUGUCGGCCACGGUGCGACCGUUGUCGGUGCCGUAGGGAAGCCGUGAAGCGAGCCACCUGGGAAGUACGGCCGCAAGGCUGAAACUUAAAGGAAUUGGCGGGGGAGCACCACAACGGGUGGAGCUUGCGGUUUAAUUGGAUUCAACGCCGGAAAUCUUACCGGGACCGACAGCGAUAUGAAGGCCAGGCUGAAGACUUUGCCGGAUUAGCUGAGAGGUGGUGCAUGGCCGUCGUCAGUUCGUACUGUGAAGCAU